GACGAACGCUGGCGGCGUGCUUAACACAUGCAAGUCGAGCGGUAAGGCCCUUUCGGGGGUACACGAGCGGCGAACGGGUGAGUAACACGUGGGUGACCUGCCCUCAGCUCUGGGAUAAGCCUGGGAAACCGGGUCUAAUACUGGAUAUGACUCCAUGACGCAUGUUGUGGGGUGGAAAGCCUUGUGCGGCUGAGGAUGGGCCCGCGGCCUAUCAGCUUGUUGGUGGGGUGANGGCCUACCAAGGCGACGACGGGUAGCCGGCCUGAGAGGGCGACCGGCCACACUGGGACUGAGACACGGCCCAGACUCCCACGGGAGGCAGCAGUGGGGAAUCUUGCGCAAUGGGCGAAAGCCCUGACGCAGCGACGCCGCGUGAGGGAUGACGGCCUCGGUUCGUAACGU
RNAcentral lists this ribosomal RNA (402 nucleotides) under uncultured bacterium. Its description in RNAcentral is "bacterial SSU rRNA". It matches the Rfam family "Bacterial small subunit ribosomal RNA", at positions 28 to 432 of the family's 1533-position model. The record is from RNAcentral.